RNAcentral lists this ribosomal RNA (440 nucleotides) under uncultured bacterium. Its description in RNAcentral is "partial 16S ribosomal RNA". It matches the Rfam family "Bacterial small subunit ribosomal RNA", at positions 338 to 795 of the family's 1533-position model. The record is from RNAcentral.
CCUACGGGUGGCAGCAGUGGGGAAUAUUGCACAAUGGGGGAAACCCUGAUGCAGCGACGCCGCGUGAGUGAAGAAGUAAUUCGUUAUGUAAAGCUCUAUCAGCAGGGAAGAAAAUGACGGUACCUGAGUAAGAAGCCCCGGCUAACUACGUGCCAGCAGCCGCGGUAAUACGUAGGUGGCAAGCGUUAUCCGGAUUUACUGGGUGUAAAGGGAGCGUAGGCGGCAGUGCAAGUCUGGAGUGAAAGGCGUCGGCUCAACCCACGGAGUGCACCGGAAACUGUACGGCUGGAGUGCAGAAGAGGACAGUGGAACUCCAAGUGUAGCGGUGAAAUGCGUAGAUAUAAGGAGGAACACCAGUGGCGAAGGCGGCUGACUGGACUGCAACUGACGCUGAGGCUCGAAAGCAUGGGGAGCAAACAGGAUUAGAUACCCCUGUAGUC